RNAcentral lists this long non-coding RNA (1196 nucleotides) under Equus caballus (horse). Its description in RNAcentral is "lncRNA (ENSECAG00000053656.1)". The record is from RNAcentral. Lineage: Eukaryota; Metazoa; Chordata; Mammalia; Perissodactyla; Equidae.
UUUAAGGAUCUUGAGAUGAGACCAUCUUAGAUUACCUGGGUGGACCUUAAAUCCAAUGAUAAGCAUCCUUGUAAGAAAUGCCCAGAGAGGACACAGAGAGAAGAGAAGGCCAUGUGAAGAUGGAGGCAGAGAUUGGAAUUAUAUAGCCACAAGCCAAGGAAUGCCCAGAGCCACCAGAAACUGAAAGAUGUAAGGAAGAACUCUCCCCUACAGCCUUCAGAGAGAGCACAACCUUAUGGACACCUUGAUUUCAGACUUCUGGCCUCCAGAACUGGCGUGGCAGACCCCUGGGCUAACAGCCCAUGGGAUGAACCUCAAUGGCCCCCACCGGUGUCCAUAUCAGCACGCCUGGACCAGCUCAGAACAAUGGCCCCCACCAAUGUCUCAGUCUCCAGAGAGGUCCCUCCUCUCACCAAGAUGCCCCCAGAGCCCACCAGAGCCCUGACUGUUCAUUCUUGCACCGCCUCCAUGUGACCCAGGGGAAACUGACUCCAUGCUCAGCUCCAGGAGUGGAUCCUGACUGGUCUACGCCAAUCACAGUAAUCUCACCCUUCCUUGCCAGUAAUUGGUUCAGGAACCCAAGCCAGUCAUUGGAGGUCACCAUCCCACCACCAUGGGAUGGACACAUGCCUAAACUGACUAAUCAGGAGAGAGAAGGACUUCUCUUCCAUGGUUUGGGCUGAAACCUCAAGUGAGACUGCUGCUGCAGUGUUGAAGAUUAAAUGCUCAAUAUGUGGUCCCUAAAGGCAGAUUUAAAGGAAGAGACAACAAUCAGCCUCUCUAUAUAUCACCAUCUUCAAUUAUUUUGUUCAAAGACAAGGCUCAACCAAAGACAAAGCUCAACAUCCAAAACAAGAUGUCAAACAAGAAGAUGCCAAAAAAGAAGUUUCUUGCUGAAAUAAAGUUUGGGAAGACAAGUACUCCCAGCAGUGCAGACAAGCAACCAGAAGUAUUACCCAUAAGUGGUUAAUGAGAAGAUAGGAUGACAGCUGUUUAGAAGAGCUGGAAGGAAUUGUCUCCUCCUCUGAAGGACACUAGGAAAGGAACCGGAUUCUUGCAACCUCAGAAAAUAUUCCUCCCAUCGAGUGGGUCUCAACCCUAUCUGUAGAUUCGAAUCACCUGAGGAGGGUUUUGUUUUGGGGUUUGUCUUUUUUUAGCAGCAAGUCCCUGAAUGCCCUCCCCCGCCAACCAAUUAA